AUUUUCUCUUCCGUGCGCUCAGACAACAGCUACGUCGGCGAAUACUACAGAUUUCUCAAUUAAAUUCUGUUCAUUCACAUUUAAGUUCGAAAAGAUAGCCCAAUCUGCCUGGUAAUUUCGAAUUGUCGGCGCUUUUGUGUGCAAAAGUGUGAAAAAGACGGAAAAUCCCAAAUAUAACAGCGGGGAAUCGAAACAGUACAGACCUACACUUGAACAUGUCUUCAGCGGCCAAUUCGCCUGCGACCAAUUCGAAUUCUGAUGACGAACAAAGCCGAUCGAAAUGGCAUUUACAACUAAAUGCGGACACACCUUCACCAAAUCCAAAUAUCCCGUUAUCUACACCCACCUCAUUGCAUUCCAGCGCCGGUGGAGUUAGUGGUGGAGCCUCAAAGCGCAAAAGUGCGUUUCUACCAUAUCGUCCACAUGCCACUGUGCUUACAAACUUGCAACGCGGCAAUACUGAAGCAACCUUUUGCCCAGUGGAAGUAGCAUUGUCAUUCCACGAACGUGCCGGUCAAGGUGAGAUCACCGAUGAUCAAGUGCGUAUAGAAUUCGAGCGUAAUGAUCGCAAUAUUGAUUUCAAAGAUGCUACUGGAUUUACUGCUCUACAUUGGGCAUCAUACUACGGUCAGCUAGCUGCAGUACGCUUACUUGUCGAUUCUGGUGCUGAUGUGAAUGUCGAAGCACCUGAAAUGGUAACACCACUUUUGCUUGCAGCAUGCGGUGGUCACAAUGAGGUGGUGCGUUUGUUGCUGGAACAUGGUGCUCGUCCUACACAUAUGGAUAUUGUCGGUAAUACGGCGUUAAUGUAUGCCGCUGCUGGAAAUCACCCACAUACCUGCAACGAAUUGUUAGCCAAAGAUCCGGAUAUGACGGCAACCAAUGAGAAUGGCGAUACCGCAUACUCUUUGGCUGUAGAAAAUGGAGCUGUUUUGGCACAAGCUGUGCUGGAGCAGUACUUGAGUGCGUUGUUGCUGCUUUAAAAUAAAGCUAUUCUGAAAAGGAACUGAUUAUGAACACGUCGGAAGUCGCUGCUGAUGGCGCUAAAUCACGCAAGCGAAGUUGAAAAAUGCUGUUUCGAAAGAAAAAGCGUUUAAAAUUUGUAAAAGGCUGUAACACAAAAACUAUUUGGAUACGGAUUUAAAAUUUUAUGUCACCAACAACAACAAUAACGCAACAUUCCUUUCGCUGAAGUGAGUCGAGCGCGCCGCUGAACAUAAUCGAAGGCCGUAAAAUCGAUGGCAUAAAGAAGGAAA
RNAcentral lists this unclassified non-coding RNA (1256 nucleotides) under Bactrocera latifrons. RNAcentral's name for it is "dNA-binding protein RFXANK, transcript variant X4". The record is from RNAcentral. Lineage: Eukaryota; Metazoa; Arthropoda; Insecta; Diptera; Tephritidae.